This 400-nucleotide ribosomal RNA is filed under the name uncultured bacterium. RNAcentral's name for it is "bacterial SSU rRNA". It matches the Rfam family "Bacterial small subunit ribosomal RNA", at positions 356 to 773 of the family's 1533-position model. The record is from RNAcentral.
GGGGAAUAUUGGACAAUGGGCGAAAGCCUGAUCCAGCCAUGCCGCGUGAGUGACGAAGGCCUUAGGGUUGUAAAGCUCUUUUGGCGGGGAAGAUAAUGACGGUACCCGCAGAAUAAGCUCCGGCUAACUUCGUGCCAGCAGCCGCGGUAAUACGAAGGGAGCUAGCGUUGUUCGGAAUCACUGGGCGUAAAGCGCACGUAGGUGGAUCGUUAAGUCAGGGGUGAAAGCCCGAGGCUCAACCUCGGAAUUGCCUCUGAUACUGGCGGUCUAGAGUUCGAGAGAGGUGAGUGGAAUUCCUAGUGUAGAGGUGAAAUUCGUAGAUAUUAGGAAGAACACCGGUGGCGAAGGCGGCUCACUGGCUCGAUACUGACACUGAGGUGCGAAAGCGUGGGGAGCAAAC